Molecule: ribosomal RNA, 500 nt
Filed under: uncultured Glomeromycotina
Lineage: Eukaryota; Fungi; Glomeromycota
Description: partial small subunit ribosomal RNA
Rfam family: Eukaryotic small subunit ribosomal RNA
Source: RNAcentral
CCAAUAGCGUAUAUUAAAGUUGUUGCAGUUAAAAAGCUCGUAGUUGAAUUUCGGGAUCAGUGGGUCGGUCGUGCCACUGGUAUGUACUGGCCCUACUGGUUCCUCCUUCUUGAAGAACUGUGAUGCCAUUAAUUUGGUGUUGCAGGGAAACAGGACUGUUACUUUGAAAAAAUUAGAGUGUUUAAAGCAGGCAAUCGCUUGAAUACAUUAGCAUGGAAUAAUGAAAUAGGACGUUCGACCCUAUUUUGUUGGUUUCUAGGAUUGACGUAAUGAUUAAUAGGGAUAGUUGGGGGCAUUAGUAUUCAAUUGUCAGAGGUGAAAUUCUUGGAUUUAUUGAAGACUAACUACUGCGAAAGCAUUUGCCAAGGAUGUUUUCAUUAAUCAAGAACGAAAGUUAGGGGAUCGAAGACGAUCAGAUACCGUCGUAGUCUUAACCAUAAACUAUGCCGACUAGGGAUCGGAUGAUGUUAAUUUUUUAAUGACUCAUUCGGCGCCUUACG